GAUGAACGCUGGCGGCGUGCCUAAUACAUGCAAGUCGAGCGAACAGACGAGGAGCUUGCUCCUCUGACGUUAGCGGCGGACGGGUGAGUAACAAGUGGAUAACCUACCUAUAAGACUGGGAUAACUUCGGGAAACCGGAGCUAAUACCGGAUAAUAUAUUGAACCGCAUGGUUCAAUAGUGAAAGACGGUUUUGCUGUCCCUUAUAGAUGGAUCCGCGCCGCAUUAGCUAGUUGGUAAGGUAACGGCUUACCAAGGCAACGAUGCGUAGCCGACCUGAGAGGGUGAUCGGCCACACUGGAACUGAGACACGGUCCAGACUCCUACGGGAGGCAGCAGUAGGGAAUCUUCCGCAAUGGGCGAAAGCCUGACGGAGCAACGCCGCGUGAGUGAUGAAGGUCUUCGGAUCGUAAAACUCUGUUAUUAGGGAAGAACAAAUGUGUAAGUAACUAUGCACGUCUUGACGGUACCUAAUCAGAAAGCCACGGCUAACUACGUG
RNAcentral lists this ribosomal RNA (497 nucleotides) under uncultured bacterium. RNAcentral describes it as "partial 16S ribosomal RNA". It matches the Rfam family "Bacterial small subunit ribosomal RNA", at positions 28 to 507 of the family's 1533-position model. The record is from RNAcentral.